This 179-nucleotide small RNA is filed under the name Bacteroides faecis MAJ27. RNAcentral's name for it is "Bacteroidales-1 RNA". It matches the Rfam family "Bacteroidales-1 6S-Bacteroidales RNA suggested". The record is from RNAcentral. Lineage: Bacteria; Pseudomonadati; Bacteroidota; Bacteroidia; Bacteroidales; Bacteroidaceae.
AGCCGUAUCGACUGGAUCGGGAAACUCUUCAAAUUAAUCUGAUGCACCGAGAAAGCUUCGUUCUUCAAUGGCGGGCCACAUCCUUCGGGACAGCUUUUAAGCCGGUGGAUUACAAAGAGGGCGAGCGCUCAAAUCUUGUUCUAUCAGAGUUUCAUCACAUCGUCGAUGCGGCUUUUUUA